AGAGUUUGAUUCUGGCUCAGAACGAACGCUGGCGGCGUGGAUAAGACAUGCAAGUCGAACGGUGUUCAUGGGGUAGCAAUAUUCUGUGGUCAUAGUGGCGCAAGGGUGUGUAACACGUGGGUAAUCUGCCCUAAAGACUGGGAUAACAUCGAGAAAUCGAUACUAAUACCGGAUGUGAUGGUUGGAAGGCAUCUUCCGACUCUUAAAGCUGGGGACCGCAAGGCCUGGCGCUUUAGGAUGAACCCGCGACCUAUCAGCUAGUUGGUGAGGUAACGGCCCACCAAGGCUAAGACGGGUAGCUGGUCUGAGAGGACGACCAGCCACACUGGAACUGAGACACGGUCCAGACACCUACGGGUGGCAGCAGUCGAGAAUUUUUCACAAUGGGCGAAAGCCUGAUGGAGCGACGCCGCGUGGGGGAUGAAUGGCUUCGGCCCGUAAACCCCUGUCAUUUGUGACCAAGGCUUUUGGUUGAACAUUCCAAGAGAUUGAUGGUAGCGAAAGAGGAAGGGACGGCUAACUCUGUGCCAGCAGCCGCGGUAAUACAGAGGUCCCGAGCGUUGUUCGGAUUUACUGGGCGUAAAGGGUGCGUAGGCGGUUAGGUAAGUCUGAUGUGAAAUUCCUGGGCUCAACCCAGAAACUGCACUAGAUACUAUCUAGCUAGAGGAUUGGAGGGGGGAUUGGAAUUCUCGGUUUAGCAGUGAAAUGCGUAGAUAUCGAGAGGAACACCAGUGGCGAAGGCGAAUCCCUGGACAAUUCCUGACGCUGAGGCACGAAAGCUAGGGGAGCAAACAGGAUUAGAUACCCUGGUAGUCCUAGCCCUAAACGGUGCACGUUUGCUGUGAGCGGAUUCGACCUCGUUCGUGGCGAAGCUAACGCGUUAAACGUGCCGCCUGGGAAGUACGGUCGCAAGAUUAAAACUCAAAGAAAUUGACGGGGGCCUGCACAAGCGGUGGAGUAUGUGGCUCAAUUCGAUCCAACGCGAAGAACCUUACCUGGCCUUGACAUGUGAGUAGUAGAAGGGUGAAAGCCUGACGAUCCCGCAAGGGAAGCUUACACAGGUGCUGCAUGGCUGUCGUCAGCUCGUGUCGUGAGAUGUUGGGUUAAGUCCCGCAACGAGCGCAACCCCUGUGUCCUGUUGCCACCUGAGCGUAAUAACUCGGAGCACUCUGGACAGACUGCCUCAUUUAAAUGAGGAGGAAGGUGGGGAUGACGUCAAGUCAGUAUGGCCCUUAUGGCCAGGGCUGCACACGUACUACAAUGCAUGGUACAGAGGGAAGCGAAACCGCAAGGUGGAGCAAAUCCUAGAAAACCAUGCCCAGUUCAGAUUGUCGUCUGCAACUCGACGGCAUGAAGCCGGAAUCGCUAGUAAUGGCGCAUCAGCUACGACGCCGUGAAUACGUUCCCAGGCCUUGUACACACCGCCCGUCACAUCAUGAAAGCCGGCCGUACCCGAAGUCGCUGUGCCAACCGCAAGGAGGCAGGCGCCGAAGGUAUGACUGGUGAUUGGGAUGAAGUCGAAACAAGGUA
This 1530-nucleotide ribosomal RNA is filed under the name metagenome. RNAcentral describes it as "bacterial SSU rRNA". It matches the Rfam family "Bacterial small subunit ribosomal RNA". The record is from RNAcentral.